AGUGAACGCUGGCGGUAGGCCUAACACAUGCAAGUCGAACGGCAGCACAGUAAUAGCUUGCUCUUACGGGUGGCGAGUGGCGGACGGGUGAGGAAUACAUCGGAAUCUACUUUUUCGUGGGGGAUAACGUAGGGAAACUUACGCUAAUACCGCAUACGACCUACGGGUGAAAGCAGGGGAUCUUCGGACCUUGCGCGAUUGAAUGAGCCGAUGUCGGAUUAGCUAGUUGGCGGGGUAAAGGCCCACCAAGGCGACGAUCCGUAGCUGGUCUGAGAGGAUGAUCAGCCACACUGGAACUGAGACACGGUCCAGACUCCUACGGGAGGCAGCAGUGGGGAAUAUUGGACAAUGGGCGCAAGCCUGAUCCAGCCAUACCGCGUGGGUGAAGAAGGCCUUCGGGUUGUAAAGCACUUUUGUUGGGAAAGAAAAGCAGCAGGUUAAUACCCCGCUGUUCUGACGGUACCCAAAGAAUAAGCACCGGCUAACUUCGUG
RNAcentral lists this ribosomal RNA (492 nucleotides) under uncultured bacterium. Its description in RNAcentral is "partial 16S ribosomal RNA". It matches the Rfam family "Bacterial small subunit ribosomal RNA", at positions 29 to 507 of the family's 1533-position model. The record is from RNAcentral.